RNAcentral lists this long non-coding RNA (356 nucleotides) under Anas platyrhynchos platyrhynchos (common mallard). RNAcentral describes it as "lncRNA (ENSAPLG00000022268.1)". The record is from RNAcentral. Lineage: Eukaryota; Metazoa; Chordata; Aves; Anseriformes; Anatidae.
AUGAAGGAAUUUGGGCCCUAUUGGUGGGCAGUGUGGGAUGGGAAGUUGUCCCUUUCUAUCAUGCAUUCUUUCUGCUUUUGUCUGACAGUGAGGAAGGAUACAGAACGUGAAGAACAAGCAGCAGAGCUGGCGGAACUGAAAGCAGAGCGGGAGGAAAAGAAUGCAAGGCUGGCACACCGAUCUGCAAGACUGCAGGAACUAGCCAAAGAGCGGGAGAAAAAAGAUGCAAAGCUCAGGGAACAAGCUGCAGAGCUGGCAUGGAGAAAGUUUCUGCUGCCUCACUAUACAGGUAGGUGUGUGUUAAGUUGCCCUCUGCAGUGCUUCUCCUGCCCUUGCUGGGGCAUGUUCAGGAGCCA